RNAcentral lists this long non-coding RNA (1185 nucleotides) under Homo sapiens (human). RNAcentral describes it as "long non-coding RNA NONHSAT220192.1". The record is from RNAcentral. Lineage: Eukaryota; Metazoa; Chordata; Mammalia; Primates; Hominidae.
GGAAAUCCUGACGGAGUUAGAAGCCAAAAGUGAAACCAGGCAGGAAAAUUACUGGCUGAUUCAGUAUCAACGGCUUUUGAACCAGAAGCCCUUGUCCUUGAAGCUGCAAGAAGAGGGGAUGGAGCGCCAGCUGGUGGCCCUCCUGGAGGAGCUGUCGGCUGAGCACUACCUGCCCAUCUUUGCGCACCACCGCCUCUCACUGGACCUGCUGAGCCAAAUGAGCCCAGGGGACCUGGCCAAGGUGGGCGUCUCAGAAGCUGGCCUGCAGCACGAGAUCCUCCGGAGAGUCCAGGAACUGCUGGAUGCAGCCAGGAUCCAGCCAGAGCUGAAACCACCAAUGGGUGAGGUCGUCACCCCUACGGCCCCCCAGGAGCCUCCUGAGUCUGUGAGGCCAUCCGCUCCCCCUGCAGAGCUGGAGGUGCAGGCCUCAGAGUGUGUCGUGUGCCUGGAACGGGAGGCCCAGAUGAUCUUCCUCAACUGUGGCCACGUCUGCUGCUGCCAGCAGUGCUGCCAGCCACUGCGCACCUGCCCGCUGUGCCGCCAGGACAUCGCCCAGCGCCUCCGCAUCUACCACAGCAGCUGAGUGCUGCCCGCCCACCUGGGCCUGGUCCUAGCCCUGCCUCGGCCACUGUGAGCCCCGGGCUCCUGCUCAGCCUUGUGCCAGCCAGACUCGUAUGAGGCUCCCCCCUGCCCUGGGCCCCUUCCCCACUGCCCAGGAGCCCCCAUCCUAAGCUCCAAGCAUGUCUGGGCCAGGCAGAGGUGCUCCUCAUCCAUGACACCACCAGUCUGAAUGGUCCUGGGGGCUGGGGCUGGAGAGGCCGCUGCACCACCACCCGAGCCUGGGAGCCAGCGUCCCAGCCUAAUCACGGAUCUGCUGCCUCCCAGCUGUCUUGACUGAAGGCCACCGCCCCUGCAGGAGCUUGGGUCCUCAUCUGGGGGCCAUGCACAGGCCCGUCCCACCCUGCAUGUGGGAAGGGAGCAGGAGGGCCUGGCUGGGUGAGGGGAGGCCUUCCUGGGAAGGCGUGUGGUGCAGGCCUGUGCUCACAGUGGCACCAGCAACCCUGGGUCUCCCUCUCUGCUGCUCCCCAGAACCCCGGGGCCCUCCUGCUCUCCACAACUGUCCCUCCUUACCCCAUGUAGCUCGAUCCGAAGCAGGAGUGUCAAUAAACCUGUCUUCAGUGCGCU